AAACUGUUAACCUAGAGUUUGGUAGAGAGUUCUGGAACUCCAUGUGGAGCGGUGGAAUGCGUAGAUAUAUGGAAGAACACCAGUUGCGAAGGCGAGAACUUGGGCCACAACUGACGCUUAGGCUCGAAAGUGUGGGGAGCAAAUAGGAUUAGAUACCCUAGUAGUCCACACCGUAAACGAUGGGUGUUAAACGUCGGGAUUUAAUCUCGGUGUUGUAGUUAACACAUUAAACACCCUGCCUGGGUAGUACAUUCGCAAGAAUGAAACUCAAACGGAAUUGACGGGGACCCGCACAAGUGGUGGAGCAUGUUGUUUAAUUCGACGAUACACGUAGAACCUUACCUAGACUUGACAUCCUUGGCGAAGUUAUAGAAAUAUAAUGGAGGUUAACCGAGAGACAGGUGGUGCAUGGUUGUCGUCAGCUCGUGUCGUGAGAUGUUGGGUUAAGUCCCGCAACGAGCGCAACCCUUAUCGUUAGUUAUUUUGUCUAACGAGACUGCCAACGCAAGUUGGAGGAAGGUGGGGAUGACGUCAAAUCAUCAUGCCCCUUAUGUCUAGGGCCACAAACGUGCUACAAUGGUCGGUACAAACAGUCGCUAAUUCGUAAGAUAGAGCUAAUCUGUAAAGCCGAUCUCAGUUCGGAUAGAGGGCUGAAAUUCGCCCUCUUGAAGUUGGAAUCACUAGUAAUCGCGAAUCAGCCAUGUCGCGGUGAAUACGUUCUCGGGUCUUGUACACACCGCCCGU
RNAcentral lists this ribosomal RNA (744 nucleotides) under uncultured Ureaplasma sp. Its description in RNAcentral is "bacterial SSU rRNA". It matches the Rfam family "Bacterial small subunit ribosomal RNA", at positions 630 to 1397 of the family's 1533-position model. The record is from RNAcentral. Lineage: Bacteria; Bacillati; Mycoplasmatota; Mycoplasmoidales; Mycoplasmoidaceae.